GGCGAGGGCUGGUGAGGGAGGGGCUUUGUGGAGCAGCUGGUGCAGCCUUGCUUUCCGAGGGCGGCGUGCAGCCACAGUGCCCGCUGCGGGUGCUGGGGAAUGGCGCCUUACAGGCUGCCCACCUGCCUCCUCAGGGUGGAAGGCGGGGCUUGGGUGUGAGCGUGCUGAAUCAGAACUUUCCUGGAAAGUCGCCACUUGGUGUGGUCAGAGGAUCACUGAAGUAAAGCCCACAAAGCGUGGACGGCCACCCAGCCUUCCCAGUUUACAUGAUCAUGGGGAGAGCCUGUCAAAAGCAACUGCACAGAGCCUGUGCUUAAGAUGGCAGGAUCGCAAGACAGAGCAACUGGAGCAAGUCCUCAUUAAGAAGAGCCGCCCGAUGCAUUUGGACUGCGAUGUGUUACGCCCAUGAGAUUUCAGGGUUAAUUUGUUACCUGGCCGUGGCCUAUCCUCUUCCAGCAGAUACAGAGGCUACUGCAGUUUGCAACUUUGCAGAUACCAGCAGAGGAAGAAAAACCUGGGAGACUGCUGCUAACCUAAUGUGGAGACUUGACUUAAACUUCAGCCAGACAAAGGCGGAAUCUUAAUAUGGAGGGGCCUGGCUCUGCAGGGAGGUCACCUGGGCUGGCUGGAUUUCAAUCCAGUUACACAGCAAAAAAGUUACAACCCAAGCUUUGGCGAUGCUGAGCCUUCUACUCUCAGGGAUUCCAAAGCAUUUGAUAAACUCUUUCUUUGUUCCAUUGUUUACUGACUUCCUAGUGCUUGUCUUGUUCUGCAGUUAUUUAUUUAUUUUUAUUUAUUAGUUUUUACUUAUGAUCUACCCCUCUCUCCCAUCUCCCCGCAACCUGAAGGUAAGGUGCAGGAAGUUAUGGCCUUUGCUUUGUAUGCCAUUACAUUCCCCCUCCCCAGGGAAGGGGUUAGCAUGAUGGUAGGAACUGUUCCCUCUUGGUGACAGAUAAGUGACUGGAGCAGAAUCCACUUCUGCUGAGAAGCUCUGGAUGACCACGGAUAAGCAGGAAGGCAUGUGACAUAUUGGCAAGUGAGUCAGACAGAAAGAGAGACGUGGGAUCGAGUCCUGGCAUUGCCCUUUCUAGCUAUUGUGUCCUUGGACAGGUUUCCAUGGUACUUUGCAGCCAUUAGUCGAAGGCUGCCUUCAAUUAGCACACAUACAUACCAUGUGAAGGUUGCUGGUCUAGCCACAGGCCAGAUCCACUACAAAUCAAAGCCCAGGAUUCUUUCUUUGAGAAAAUGGAGAGAAGAAGUCAACCUUCCCCAUCCUCAUGCUUUUACUGCCGACUGCACCUGAUACCACCCCCACUCAAGAGAACUCUGAAGAGACUCAAAUACAUCAGGGAGCUGGAGUCAGUGGGUGGGUGCUGAUAAUGUGUUUAUCUUCCCCAGUGGAAACUACACGAGUCAAUCAGACGUCUGACCUUUUCCUUUACCGAAAAGUUACGGGAAGGAAAUGUGAGUCAGAGACUCCUUUUACAGAUACACUGCUUCCUGACUGUCUGGGCAAAGGAGCUGGCCUGGGCUGGCCUCUGAGAUGUCAGCUUUUGGGGCAGUGAGCAAGUGUGUACCUGUCGCUCCUGUGACUCCAGCCGUCACACGCAGAAGGACAGAAUCUACAUCAUUAAUCAUUUGGCAGAGCAGAAAUAGAGUCAUUGAAACAGGCUCCGCUGUGGGAUAAUAGUCCAGAAAUGUCACCAUUUAUCUACUGAGAGGACACUUUUAUCCUCUGACAACGGGCUAGCCCACCGACAUUAUAUCUUAAUUAAAAGAAAAAUUAAUCGGCACAAUUCAUUUUCUUGCCAGCCCCAGUGCUUGCCCUGGACUGCAAAACAUGUCUAGUAGCAACAAUAACCACAGGGUGGGCAGAGACCUUUGAGAUCCCAGUCUUGGAGAGAGAAUGUUAAAGAGCUCCAGUCCCAGGGCAACCAACUCAUCAAACAAAUGCUUAAAAGAGAGAAUCAGGAUGGAACAAGAAAAUAUGAAGUCUAGUGGUGAGCCAGGAGAAUAAAUGGCCUUUGAGAAGAUAACUAUGUGUUUUGGGUUGGUGGGGAGAGGUGGUGAUGGAAGGGUAAGAGGUAGGGAGAGAGUAUGUGGGGGGCGGGUGGAAAUGGACAUUUUCAGAUAACUAUGUAGACAGUUCAAAUAUCUAGACAUUUGGCUGGGUGUAGAUGACAUUCUGUUCUAUCUGAUUAAGUCAUUUUCUACAAGAUUGACCUCUUAUAGUUUGCUGUGGACACUUGAAUAAAAUAGAA
This 2261-nucleotide long non-coding RNA is filed under the name Homo sapiens (human). RNAcentral's name for it is "HSALNT0097403". The record is from RNAcentral. Lineage: Eukaryota; Metazoa; Chordata; Mammalia; Primates; Hominidae.